UACGUAGGGUGCGAGCGUUAAUCGGAAUUACUGGGCGUAAAGCGUGCGCAGGCGGUUUUGUAAGCCAGAUGUGAAAUCCCCGGGCUUAACCUGGGAAUGGCAUUUGGGACUGCAAGGCUGGAGUGUGGCAGAGGAGACUGGAAUUCCCGGUGUAGCAGUGAAAUGCGCAGAUAUCAGGAGGAACACCGAUGGCGAAGGCAGGUCUCUGGGCCACUACUGACGCUGAGAAGCGAAAGCAUGGGGAGCGAACAGG
RNAcentral lists this ribosomal RNA (253 nucleotides) under uncultured bacterium. RNAcentral's name for it is "partial 16S ribosomal RNA". It matches the Rfam family "Bacterial small subunit ribosomal RNA", at positions 524 to 776 of the family's 1533-position model. The record is from RNAcentral.